AUGAACGCUGGCGGCGUGCCUAAUACAUGCAAGUCGAGCGAACAGACGAGGAGCUUGCUCCUCUGACGUUAGCGGCGGACGGGUGAGUAACACGUGGAUAACCUACCUAUAAGACUGGGAUAACUUCGGGAAACCGGAGCUAAUACCGGAUAAUAUAUUGAACCGCAUGGUUCAAUAGUGAAAGACGGUUUUGCUGUCACUUAUAGAUGGAUCCGCGCCGCAUUAGCUAGUUGGCAAGGUAACGGCUUACCAAGGCAACGAUGCGUAGCCGACCUGAGAGGGUGAUCGGCCACACUGGAACUGAGACACGGUCCAGACUCCUACGGGAGGCAGCAGUAGGGAAUCUUCCGCAAUGGGCGAAAGCUUGACGGAGCAACGCCGCGUGAGUGAUGAAGGUCUUCGGAUCGUAAAACUCUGUUAUUAGGGAAGAACAAAUGUGUAAGUAACUAUGCACGUCUUGACGGUACCUAAUCAGAAAGCCACGGCUAACUACGUG
RNAcentral lists this ribosomal RNA (496 nucleotides) under uncultured bacterium. RNAcentral describes it as "partial 16S ribosomal RNA". It matches the Rfam family "Bacterial small subunit ribosomal RNA", at positions 29 to 507 of the family's 1533-position model. The record is from RNAcentral.